UACGUAGGGGGCAAGCAUUGUCCGGAAUUACUGGGCGUAAAGGGCGUGUAGGCGGGGCGGCAAGUCAGAUGUGAAAUCCCAUGGCUUAACUGUGGAGCUGCAUCUGAAACUGUCGUUCUUGAGUGUCGGAGAGGAAAGUGGAAUUCCCAGUGUAGCGGUGAAAUGCGUAGAGAUUGGGAGGAACACCAGUGGCGAAGGCGGCUUUCUGGACGAUAACUGACGCUGAGGCGCGAAAGCGUGGGGAGCAAACAGG
Molecule: ribosomal RNA, 253 nt
Filed under: uncultured bacterium
Lineage: Bacteria
Description: partial 16S ribosomal RNA
Rfam family: Bacterial small subunit ribosomal RNA
Source: RNAcentral